GGUCUCUCUAUGGAUUGUAAAGCUCUUUUCAGCCGGGGAAGAUCAUUGUACCGCGGAACCGAUAGAAGAAGCCCCGGGUAACUUCCUGCCCGCAGACGCGGUAAUACCUACGGGGCUAGCGUUGUUCGGAUUUACUGGGCGUAAAGGGCACGCAGGAUUAUUAAUAAUUCAGGGGUGAAAUCCCGGUUCUCAACCCCGGAACUGCCUUUGAUACUGCUACCGUUGAGUAUGAUAGAGGAGAGUGGAAUUCCGAGGGUAAAGAGGAAAUUGGAAUAUAUUCGGAGGAACACCAAUGGCGAAAGAUGCUCACUGGACCAUUACUGACGCUGAGGUGCGAAAGCGUGGGUAGCAAACAGGAUUAGAUACCCUGGUAAUCCACGCCGAAAACAUACCCUGUUAGCCGUUGCCGGAGUUUACUCUUCGCUAGGUGCAGCUAACGCAUUAGCCCCUCCGGCCUGGGGGAGAACGCAUUAAGCACUCCGCCCUGGGGGAGA
RNAcentral lists this ribosomal RNA (494 nucleotides) under Brucella ciceri. RNAcentral describes it as "bacterial SSU rRNA". It matches the Rfam family "Bacterial small subunit ribosomal RNA", at positions 409 to 873 of the family's 1533-position model. Lineage: Bacteria; Pseudomonadati; Pseudomonadota; Alphaproteobacteria; Hyphomicrobiales; Brucellaceae. The record is from RNAcentral.